UCAUCAUGCCCCUUAUGUCUUGGGCUUCACGCAUGCUACAAUGGCCGGUACAAAGGGCUGCGAUACCGCGAGGUGGAGCGAAUACCCAGAAAGCCGGUCUCAGUUCGGAUUGGGUCUGCAACUCGACCCCAUGAAGUCGGAGUCGCUAGUAAUCGCAGAUCAGCAACGCUGCGGUGAAUACGUUCCCGGGCCUU
This 194-nucleotide ribosomal RNA is filed under the name uncultured Cellulomonas sp. RNAcentral describes it as "partial 16S ribosomal RNA". It matches the Rfam family "Bacterial small subunit ribosomal RNA", at positions 1190 to 1382 of the family's 1533-position model. Lineage: Bacteria; Bacillati; Actinomycetota; Actinomycetes; Micrococcales; Cellulomonadaceae. The record is from RNAcentral.